This 253-nucleotide ribosomal RNA is filed under the name uncultured bacterium. RNAcentral describes it as "partial 16S ribosomal RNA". It matches the Rfam family "Bacterial small subunit ribosomal RNA", at positions 524 to 776 of the family's 1533-position model. The record is from RNAcentral.
UACGUAGGGGGCAAGCGUUGUCCGGAAUUAUUGGGCGUAAAGAGCGCGUAGGCGGUCCGGUAAGUCGGCUGUGAAAGUCAAGGGCUCAACCCUUGAAAGCCGGCCGAUACUGUCGGACUAGAGUCCGGAAGAGGCGAGUGGAAUUCCCGGUGUAGCGGUGAAAUGCGCAGAUAUCGGGAGGAACACCUGUGGCGAAAGCGGCGCACUGGACCACAACUGACGCUGAGGCGCGAAAGCUAGGGGAGCAAACAGG